AGCGAACGCUGGCGGCAGGCUUAACACAUGCAAGUCGAGCGGGCAUCCUUGUGGUGUCAGCGGCAGACGGGUGAGUAACGCGUGGGAACGUGCCCUUCGGUUCGGAAUAACUCAGGGAAACUUGAGCUAAUACCGGAUACGUGCGAGAGCAGAAAGGUUUAUCUGCCGAAGGAUCGGCCCGCGUCUGAUUAGCUAGUUGGUGAGGUUAUGGCUCACCAAGGCGACGAUCAGUAGCUGGUCUGAGAGGAUGAUCAGCCACACUGGGACUGAGACACGGCCCAGACUCCUACGGGAAGCAGCAGUGGGGAAUAUUGGACAAUGGGGGCAACCCUGAUCCAGCCAUGCCGCGUGAGUGAUGACGGCCUUAGGGUUGUAAAGCUCUUUUCUGCGGGACGAUAAUGACGGUACCGGAGGAAUAAGCCCCGGCUAACUUCGUG
RNAcentral lists this ribosomal RNA (437 nucleotides) under uncultured bacterium. Its description in RNAcentral is "partial 16S ribosomal RNA". It matches the Rfam family "Bacterial small subunit ribosomal RNA", at positions 29 to 507 of the family's 1533-position model. The record is from RNAcentral.